Molecule: non-coding RNA, 2999 nt
Organism: Chrysemys picta bellii (western painted turtle)
Lineage: Eukaryota; Metazoa; Chordata; Testudines; Emydidae
Source: RefSeq, a predicted model, not a curated record
UGGAAAAAUAAAUUAAAAAAUGGCAGAAAAACGCCUGACCAGCACUACUGAUUUUAUUAAGCUUUGCCUAAUGGUAAAAGCUUUAACCACAUCAUCUAAAUGAAACGUUCAAACAAUAAUGAAAAUCUAAAUAGGAGAGGAAUAGGGGAAAAAUGUAUUAUCCUCCCUUUAUACUGAAUGUGCACAACCUAUAUAAAAAUCUGUAAAAAAAGCAGCUAUUUUCAACAUUGUUAUUGGGCUUAUAAAAAGAAAUAAUGGGCAAUUUAUGCUUUCUGAAAUUAGCUACAACAAGGUAAGUAAUUGCUGUGCAAGUCAUACUACGUUUUACAAACUAUGUUCUUCCACUGAACAAGAUUCUCAGAUUGCCUUUAAAAGGUAUAAUCUUCUGUAAUCAUUUUUGGAGUUGAAAGCAAUUACUUUUCAAUGGGAAAAGCAAGUGUGAGAACAAGGGCAUCCAGGACCAGAGUUCCCAGUAGUUUGUAAACCCUGACCUUUCAUAUUCAGUUACUGACCUGGUUGGUAAAAGGACAGUGCAAUGAUUAACUUACUAUCCCCCUCAUCUUAAACUGCAUGAAAGGCCAUUGAGACCUGUGUCUGGUAUGCAGCUUUGAAGAAGAAACCUGUAUAAGGUUUGAUCAUCUAACAAGGAAUUUUCACCCCUGUGCCCCGAUAAGGUGUGAGUUUAGUGUAAGUAAAAUGCAUGUAAGGGAGAUGAGAAACAAGAAAGAAACCCCCCACCAAUAAGUUAAGGGCAGUCAGAUAUAGAGCGAGCUUGGGUCAGAACUGAUUAAGAGUUCUCCUGGGAGGCCACACAAUAGGCAGGUGGUGCUGUUGCUACUACAGCAGGGCUCAAAGUCAGCAAAGAAGCUGCAGAGUAUGAACAAACAGUAACAGAGCAAAUUCACAGAGCUGAAUGAAUACUUCUGCCCGGCUCACUCUAUCACAUAAAUAGUUUGGUUUUCAGUGUCAGAGGAUUUAAACAACAAUAGGUAACCGUGGGAGGAAAAUGUUAGCGGCAGUAGUAUGAAGUAACAAUUGGCGAGAAGAGGGAAAAGAUUACGAAGCUUUUAUUAGGCUGCCAGCGCAGACCUAUCAGCACACUUGCACUUUGUGGGUUAGACCCACAUCUUCCCCUUCCCACCUUCCAAGGCCAUUUGAUCACCUGCGUUUUGGAGGGAAGAGAUGCAAUGGGGCCAGUCAUUUCCCUUCAGCACUGCAGGCUGCUGGGGGAGUUGAAGGGGGAGGAAGGGAGAGGGAGAGAGAGAAAUUACAGCAAUGAAUCCAGGUAGAGCCUUUCUGCACCUAUGCCAUAGGUGGUGCUGUGGGAGGGAGGGAGAUUACUUAUUAUAACUCUACUGUCUUGUUUUCCUCUCCCCCCUUCUUCCCUGCAGCUAGGAAAGGAGCCGCGAGAAGGAGUGUAAAGAUGUGGAGAGCUCAAGAGGGAGUCAGGGGAAUGGAAUGGGGCCAAGGUGAACAGAUGAGUCAGGGGAUGUUUUUUUCUGAGGAAGUACGAAUAAGGUUAACCGAGUAUUCAGAAGAUUUGAGAGGUAAGGGAUAUGUUUGCAGGGGUAAAGCGAUUAGAGCAAUAAGGGAUUCAAUGGAGAAAUCCUGCAAAUGAGGUGAGGCAGCAAGAGGAUGAGGGGUUUAGGCAAUCUGUGAGUGAACAAAGUGCAUCCAGGGGAGCAAACAAAGGUCUUGGGAAAUAACAUUUAAUUUUUUUAUUAAAGUUAAUGUUUAAAAUUAAAUAUACACAAGUUAAGAGGGAAGGUAUUGCACAUCUGGGGUCAGGCUUGAGUUAUGAGGGAUUACAGAUACAUACAUAUCACAUAACCAGCAUAGACCUAGAUUGGGGUGCGGGAGUUUUUAAAGUGUCAGUGGAUAAGUGUCAGUGGGCUCGGGUACGCCACCCAUGGAAUGUAUUAAGUAUUAAAAGGAGAAUAGGAGGACUAGGACAAGUGGAGUGUGGGACAUGGAUGAGGAUAGGAAUUCAGCGGGUAGGGUGGAGGAAGGAAAUAGAGUGGAUAGAGGGUAAAGUGAGAGAGAACAGUGAUUGGAAGAGAAAAGUCUUGAAGAAAGAGAAAAGUUGCAUGAAGGUCUUUAACAAAAUUGGAGGAGAACAGAGGAAAGUGGGUAAACAGAUACGUAGCAAUUGUUGUUUCAUUCAACUUUUGAAUACACAGUAAAAUAACAAGAUUUUUCUGAUUAUUAGAUAGGUGAUACCUUAACCCUGGGCCUAGCCAAUUUUGGAUUACAUAUUGGAUGGCACCCUCAUUUUCAUUCGGAAAAGGUAGUUGUGGCACUGUGCCAUGAAGUGAGCAUCUUACUAGACAACUGCAUGGAAACUGGGCAGCCACAGGCAAGAUCAAGAAGAAACUAUGACAGCCACAAGGAUGAAAAGUAAACUGAAAUAUGCUUCCAUCUAGAAAAACAGAGACCUCUGAGGCAUUAUCACAGAUUCACACUUUCAAAGGGGCCUAGAAGAUUUUUUCUCCUUGGAGGGUGCAGUUAGCAAUCAUAACAACAAACUGUAUUUUCAGCGGGGGAACAACAUAUGCAGUCCAAGAUUAUUUACAAUAAAUGGGUGUGAAUGUUCCAGAAUUUUAAGAAGGCUAAUAAAAACUACCAAUUUCUCAGUAGAAAAAAGAAAAGUUGGAGUAAAAACAAAAAGGUUUUAAACAAUCAGCUUUAUGGGAUGAUUGAGAAUUCUAAAGUAGAAUUAUAUUUGUAACACAAGUGUUAAGUCUGCUCUGUGCUGAUUCUUUCAAAACCCUUUAAAUCAUUUAACAGAAAACAGGUGUUUAAACUCUUAUAGUACAUCUGUCAUACUCAUAACUUCUUUUUUUGUCCUACUGAAUUUAAACGCUAAUACAAAUGUGACCAUAGUUAGCUCAGCAAUGAAGAAUACCCUUCAUAAAAAUACUUUUAUAGAUGUAUGAAAAUGGACUAAUAAGUCAGUGUUUCUGGCAAACACUCAAUAAAUCAUAUAUAAUUCAAUACAG